ACUGGUCUACUACUAGGUCAUGUGUCUUCUCAGUCAUGUUGACACUGGUCUACUACCAGGUCAUGUGUCUUCUCAGUCAUGUUGACACUGGUCUACUACCAGGUCAUGUGUCUUCUCAGUCAUGUUGACACUGGUCUACUACCAGGUCAUGUGUCUUCUCAGUCAUGUUGACACUGGUCUACUACCAGGUCAUGUGUCUUCUCAGUCAGGUUGACACUGGUCUACUACCAGGUCAUGUGUCUUCUCAGUCAUGUUGACACUGGUCUACUACCAGGUCAUGUGUCUUCUCAGUCAUGUUGACACUGGUCUACUACCAGGUCAUGUGUCUUCUCAGUCAUGUUGACACUGGUCCACUACCAGGUCAUGUGUCUUCUCAGUCAUGUUGACACUGGUCUACUACCAGGUCAUGUGUCUUCUCAGUCAUGUUGACACUGGUCUACUACCAGGUCAUGUGUCUUCU
Long non-coding RNA from Oncorhynchus keta (chum salmon), 460 nucleotides. RefSeq lists it as uncharacterized. The record is from RefSeq and is a predicted model, not a curated record. Lineage: Eukaryota; Metazoa; Chordata; Actinopteri; Salmoniformes; Salmonidae. The transcript is spliced from 3 exons.